RNAcentral lists this ribosomal RNA (1278 nucleotides) under uncultured organism. Its description in RNAcentral is "SSU rRNA". It matches the Rfam family "Bacterial small subunit ribosomal RNA", at positions 140 to 1422 of the family's 1533-position model. The record is from RNAcentral.
UGGACAGCCUUCUGAAAGGAAGAUUAAUACAAGAUGGCAUCAUGAGUCCGCAUGUUCACAUGAUUAAAGGUAUUCCGGUAGACGAUGGGGAUGCGUUCCAUUAGAUAGUAGGCGGGGUAACGGCCCACCUAGUCUUCGAUGGAUAGGGGUUCUGAGAGGAAGGUCCCCCACAUUGGAACUGAGACACGGUCCAAACUCCUACGGGAGGCAGCAGUGAGGAAUAUUGGUUUAUGGGCGAGAGCCUGAACCAGCCAAGUAGCGUGAAGGAUGACUGCCCUAUGGGUUGUAAACUUCUUUUAUAAAGGAAUAAAGUCGGGUAUGGAUACCCGUUUGCAUGUACUUUAUGAAUAAGGAUCGGCUAACUCCGUGCCAGCAGCCGCGGUAAUACGGAGGAUCCGAGCGUUAUCCGGAUUUAUUGGGUUUAAAGGGAGCGUAGAUGGAUGUUUAAGUCAGUUGUGAAAGUUUGCGGCUCAACCGUAAAAUUGCAGUUGAUACUGGAUAUCUUGAGUGCAGUUGAGGCAGGCGGAAUUCGUGGUGUAGCGGUGAAAUGCUUAGAUAUCACGAAGAACUCCGAUUGCGAAGGCAGCCUGCUAAGCUGCAACUGACAUUGAGGCUCGAAAGUGUGGGUAUCAAACAGGAUUAAAUACCCUGGUAGUCCACACGGUAAACGAUGAAUACUCGCUGUUUGCGAUAUACAGCAAGCGGCCAAGCGAAAGCGUUAAGUAUUCCACCUGGGGAGUACGCCGGCAACGGUGAAACUCAAAGGAAUUGACGGGGGCCCGCACAAGCGGAGGAACAUGUGGUUUAAUUCGAUGAUACGCGAGGAACCUUACCCGGGCUUAAAUUGCAGAUGAAUUACGGUGAAAGCCGUAAGCCGCAAGGCAUCUGUGAAGGUGCUGCAUGGUUGUCGUCAGCUCGUGCCGUGAGGUGUCGGCUUAAGUGCCAUAACGAGCGCAACCCUUGUUGUCAGUUACUAACAGGUUCUGCUGAGGACUCUGACAAGACUGCCAUCGCAAGUUGUGAGGAAGGUGGGGAUGACGUCAAAUCAGCACGGCCCUUACGUCCGGGGCUACACACGUGUUACAAUGGGGGGUACAGAGGGCCGCUACCACGCGAGUGGAUGCCAAUCCCCAAAACCUCUCUCAGUUCGGACUGGAGUCUGCAACCCGACUCCACGAAGCUGGAUUCGCUAGUAAUCGCGCAUCAGCCACGGCGCGGUGAAUACGUUCCCGGGCCUUGUACACACCGCCCGUCAAGCCAUGGGAGCCGGGGGUACCU